GAUGAACGCUGGCGGCGUGCCUAAUACAUGCAAGUCGAGCGAACAGACGAGGCGCUUGCUCCUCUGACGUUAGCGGCGGACGGGUGAGUAACACGUGGAUACCCUACCUAUAAGACUGGGAUAACUUCGGGAAACCGGAGCUAAUAUCGGAUAAUAUAUUGAACCGCAGGGUUCAAUAGUGAAAGACGGUUUUGCUGUCACUUAUAGAUGGAUCCGCGCCGCAUUAGCUAGUUGGUAAGGUAACGGCUUACCAAGGCAACGAUGCGUAGCCGACCUGAGAGGGUGAUCGGCCACACUGGAACUGAGACACGGUCCAGACUCCUACGGGAGGCAGCAGUAGGGAAUCUUCCGCAAAGGGCGAAAGCCUGACGGAGCAACGCCGCGUGAGUGAUGAAGGUCUUCGGAUCGUAAAACUCUGUUAUUAGGGAAGAACAAAUGUGUAAGUAACUAUGCACGUCUUGACGGUACCUAAUCAGAAAGCCACGGCUAACUACGUG
This 497-nucleotide ribosomal RNA is filed under the name uncultured bacterium. RNAcentral's name for it is "partial 16S ribosomal RNA". It matches the Rfam family "Bacterial small subunit ribosomal RNA", at positions 28 to 507 of the family's 1533-position model. The record is from RNAcentral.